AGAAACAUAGAUCAACUUGUUGAUUCUUGAACAUCGUCGCACAGCUUGUAAUACUUUGGCAUCUGUAAAUAUCAACGAUUCCAUAAGGUAUUGCACUAUAAAGAAUUAAGACUUACGGCAUCCUGGCCUUGGUGGAUCUAAAAUGGCGACGACCUGUGAUUCUUGAGCUUCCAGAGUAGACGUUGUUUUCACCAGAACAUCCUCGGCUUUGCCACAUUGGUAUUCGACGUUACUUAUACCUAGAGAAAAUGGGGAAACAGCCAUUCGCGGUAUGUUGUAUUCUGUGAGGGAACGGUUAUCAAACCGCAUACCGUUCAGUUCAGCAUUGAACUUUGCAUCUGCAAUUGCUUCCUCACAUAACUCAAUGCCUAUCACUCGUUUUGCGUUCUAUAUUCAAUACAACAACUCGUGAGCGUUAUUUGAAAUGAGAUAGUAAAGAUUGUAAUCAACACAUCUUUUGUCUUUUACCUUCGCAAUAGUUAAACCAAUAGUUCCUGUACCACAGCAUACAUCUGAAAAAUUCAGGAAAGAAUUGGCAAAAGUAACAUGGACAUUAUUAAGGCUUUAGUCGAUAUUUUCGUCAAGCCGAUUUACAACUGUUGAAGCACCAUUAAAGGUCUGAAUUUUUAUAAUCUGUCAUUACAUAUCGCAACCUGUAGCAUAACAAAACCCCUAAACUAUAUAUAAUACUGUUCUGGAGUCGAACUAUGAGAAAAAUCUUACCAAAUUUGAUACACUAAUUUCA
Long non-coding RNA from Xenia sp. Carnegie-2017, 745 nucleotides. RefSeq lists it as uncharacterized. The record is from RefSeq and is a predicted model, not a curated record. The transcript is spliced from 2 exons. Lineage: Eukaryota; Metazoa; Cnidaria; Anthozoa; Malacalcyonacea; Xeniidae.